UUUUGUCAGUGAUGAGACCACGGAACUUGCGUCAGGCAUGGCGCCCGACAACUAUGAGGAUAUUUUCCAUGCUGCCUUCCUUCUGAGACUACA
This is a small nucleolar RNA of Echeneis naucrates (live sharksucker), 93 nucleotides long. Ensembl annotates it as small nucleolar RNA U83B. The record is from Ensembl. NCBI's taxonomy places the organism in Eukaryota, Metazoa, Chordata, Actinopteri, Carangiformes, Echeneidae.